This 234-nucleotide long non-coding RNA is filed under the name Elaeis guineensis (African oil palm). RNAcentral describes it as "long non-coding RNA (EGUI_LNC048846)". Lineage: Eukaryota; Viridiplantae; Streptophyta; Magnoliopsida; Arecales; Arecaceae. The record is from RNAcentral.
AUCUUAUUCUUUGUGCUCAUUACUUGCUUACUUCUUAUUUAUGUUUGAUUUUGUUUCUAUUGCAAGUUGAUACAUUUCACUCUUUACCUUGACACAUUGCUUAAGUAGUUCAAUCUUUAAAAUUUUAAAAAGAUCCAAUUCACCCCCCACUUGGGCUCCAUAUAUGGGCAACAGAGAGUCCUAGUAAAUUUAGGACUCUUGCAUAUUAAUCCAAUUUGACUCAAUCUGGACUAA